This 66-nucleotide transfer RNA is filed under the name Amata formosae. RNAcentral describes it as "tRNA-His". The record is from RNAcentral. Lineage: Eukaryota; Metazoa; Arthropoda; Insecta; Lepidoptera; Erebidae.
AUUUAAAUAAUUUAAUUAAAAUAUUGAUUUGUGGUAUCAAAAAUAUGGAUAAGUUCAUUUUAGAUU